RNAcentral lists this ribosomal RNA (253 nucleotides) under uncultured bacterium. RNAcentral describes it as "partial 16S ribosomal RNA". It matches the Rfam family "Archaeal small subunit ribosomal RNA", at positions 474 to 727 of the family's 1478-position model. The record is from RNAcentral.
UACCAGCACCCCGAGUGGUCGGGACGAUUAUUGGGCCUAAAGCAUCCGUAGCCGGUUCUACAAGUCUUCCGUUAAAUCCACCUGCUUAACAGAUGGGCUGCGGAGGAUACUAUAGAGCUAGGAGGCGGGAGAGGCAAGCGGUACUUAGUGGGUAGGGGUAAAGUCCGUUGAUCCAUUGAAGACCACCAGUGGCGAAGGCGGCUUGCCAGAACGCACUCGACGGUGAGGGAUGAAAGCUGGGGGAGCAAACCGG